Vicugna pacos (alpaca) is the source of this 2077-nucleotide long non-coding RNA. RefSeq lists it as uncharacterized. Lineage: Eukaryota; Metazoa; Chordata; Mammalia; Artiodactyla; Camelidae. The record is from RefSeq and is a predicted model, not a curated record.
GCAUGAAAUUUUGGGCUGACCUAUUAGCUUCAUAAACUUGGAUGUCCAAAUCCUUCCUCAGGUUUGGGAAGUUCUCAGCCAUUAUUACUUUAAGCCUUCUUUCCCUUUUUCCUCUCUUCUCCUCCUGGGACUCUAAUAAUUCAUAGGUUGUUUGUUGUCUUAUUGGUGUCCCAUAAGUCCCACAGGCUUUCUACAUCCCCUCUUUAUCCUUUUUUCUUUUUGCUCCAUUGACUAGAUACUUUCAAAUGAUCUGUCUUCAAGUUCAUUGAUUCUUCCUUCUGCUUGCUCCAGUUUGAUGUUUAACUCUGUACUGAAUUCUUAGUUACUGUAUUCUGCAGCUCCUAACUUUCAACUUUCUGUUCAGUACUUGUUUAUGUUUUCUCUUUCUUGAACUCAUCAUUUUAUUUUGAUAUUGUUUAUCUGUUCCCCUGUAACUCUCAGCAUUUUUAGAACAACUAUUUCUAAUUCUUUUUCAGGCAGUUCAUAUAUCUCCAUUUCUCUGGGGUGAAUCACUGGGAAUUUACUGUGUUCCUUUGGUGGUAUCAGGUUUCCCUGACUCUGUGCUCCCUGUGGCUCUGGGUCUGGGGCAGAGGGGCAUGAUGUCUUGUUGGCUUAGACCUCUCAGGUCCACAGCAUUGAUAACUGUGGUCCUUGGUGAGUACUCUGGGGGGAUGGGGUGUCUUGAGUGACUUUAAGGGUUUUGGGGUUCAAAUCUUCAGGUACAUCUAGGGAACAGGGCAGGCCACUGUAGUGGCUGGAGCCAGUGGUUCACAAACACGGGUAGUGGCAAGGGCUGGGGCCAACCACAGGUGCAGUAUCAGCUGUUGGGGCACUGGCUCUUGGCAUGCACUCCUGUAAUUGCAGGGUCUUUACGUGGCCUUAUGGCAUUGGAGGCUAAAGUUCGGACUCAGACUGGCAGAAUGCAACCACAUAGCUGGAGCAGCUAAAUGACACUGAGCCCAGCAUUGUAGGCCAGUGAUAGAAGUCAGGGCCAGAUGUGGAACCCAGAGGAUUUGGCCUUGGCUCUAGAGGUGCAUUCCCAUGGCUAAAGCAUCUCACCACAGGUGUGCUAUAGAGGUUGUGAUAUGAGUAGAGCCAGGGGUGUGCAAGAAGAGGUAGCUAAAGUAGAGGUUCAGGCCAGGAACAGGUUAUAUGGCUGAAUCCCAGCCCUCAGGCAUUUUUGGGGGGCCUUGGCUGUCAGUAUGGACUUCCAUGUCUUGCCAAGAAAUAAUUACCAAAUGUCUAUUAUGCACCCUGGCUCUGUUCUAGGUACCAGAAGUAUAGAGGAGACAUAAGAAAGUAUAACCAAAGGACUUGAUCCAAUUUUUUGGAUUGAUGGUCAGUGAACAUCCUCCAAGAAGAAGAAGUGAUAUUUGAUCUGAGAGCUAAAAGUCUACUGCAAGCACCUGAUUAUCAGGUGCAUCCCUGAUGAAGCUACCACAAAACUGGAGACAACUGCUCACUGGAGAUUAAGGAAGGAUAAGGAGUCCAUAAGAUGGAGCCCUGAGGUCAAAGUCAAGAUUUAUAGAUUGGAAACCUCACACCAAUCCCAGAGAAGUCAUUUGGAUCACUCUGGGGCACAAUGUCCUCAUUUAUAAAAUGAUAGCGGUGGGACUGAUGAUAAUGAAAGGUCUCUUCCUACCUAAUUCUCAGUGAUUCUUCUGAUCUUACAUUACAUAUCACUCUUGGAUGUUAGAAUAAAUUUGUUAUGGCAGAAAAUUUUAUUUUUCUUUGAGCCCACAAAUCCUUGAAGAGGUCAGCAAACACUUGCUUUUAGAUAAUACGGCACAGCUAGAAUAACCAAGGGCUUUAAUUUUCAAGCACUGUAGUUUUUUCCUCAAGAAGAGAGCUCUUGGUCAUAGACAAAACAAAUCUCUUUACUCCCCAAACAGUCAGGACAGAAAGACAAUCAUUAAUAACAAUCUUUCAGGAGAAUGACUAACAAUGAUCCUCCAAAGUUCAGCCUUUAUGUAUGUUAGUGAGAAAGAUUUAAAUAGCUGAGCCCUUUUGAAUAAAGUUUAAUGUGUAUAAAAUAUCCUGCUAAAUUAAGAUUAAAUGUUAAAAAGCUUGGCUUUUA